Molecule: ribosomal RNA, 501 nt
Filed under: uncultured bacterium
Lineage: Bacteria
Description: bacterial SSU rRNA
Rfam family: Bacterial small subunit ribosomal RNA
Source: RNAcentral
AUUGAACGCUGGCGGCGUGCUUAACACAUGCAAGUCGAUCGGUAACAGGUGUAGCAAUACAUGCUGACGAGAGGCGGACGGGUGAGUAAUGCUUGGGAAUCUGCCUAUUAGUGGGGGACAACCCGGGGAAACUCGGGCUAAUACCGCAUACGCUCUACGGAGGAAAGCCGGGGACCGCAAGGCCUGGCGCUAAUAGAUGAGCCCAAGUCGGAUUAGCUAGUUGGUAGGGUAACGGCCUACCAAGGCGACAAUCCGUAGCUGGUCUGAGAGGACGACCAGCCACACCGGAACUGAGACACGGUCCGGACUCCUACGGGAGGCAGCAGUGGGGAAUAUUGGACAAGUGGGGGCAACCCUGAUCCAGCGACGCCGCGUGGGUGAAGAAGGCCUGCGGGUUGUAAAGCCCUUUCGGUGGGGAAGAAAAGUCUCGACCUAAUACGUCGGGACCUUGACGUAACCCACUAAAGAAGCACCGGCUAACUCUGUGCCAGCCGCCGCUGU